RNAcentral lists this ribosomal RNA (377 nucleotides) under uncultured bacterium. RNAcentral's name for it is "bacterial SSU rRNA". It matches the Rfam family "Bacterial small subunit ribosomal RNA", at positions 30 to 404 of the family's 1533-position model. The record is from RNAcentral.
AUUGAACGCUGGCGGCAUGCCUUACACAUGCAAGUCGAACGGCAGCACGGGAGCAAUCCUGGUGGCGAGUGGCGAACGGGUGAGUAAUAUAUCGGAACGUGCCCAGUCGUGGGGAUAACGUAGCGAAAGCUACGCUAAUACCGCAUACGAUCUAUGGAUGAAAGCGGGGGAUCGCAAGACCUCGCGCGAUUGGAGCGGCCGAUAUCAGAUUAGGUAGUUGGUGNGGUAAAGGCUCACCCAAGCCGACCGAUCUGUAGCUGGUCUGAGAGGACGACCAGCCACACUGGGACUGAGACACGGCCCAGACUCCUACGGAGGCAGCAGUGGGGAAUUUUGGACAUAAAGGGCGCAAGCCUGAUCCAGCAAUAGCCGCGUGC